CGUUUCCGUAGGUGAACCUGCGGAAGGAUCAUUGAAUUAUAAAAACCACAAUGUGAACCCUGUCGUCCCGUGUCUUUGCCGCCAGCAAGGCGAUUCGCGUAAGCCAAUCGUGCUUGCAACUGGGGCGGGCAUUGCUGCCCGCACCAGUGGCGCUCUGGCAUGUUUAUACACCAGUGCCAACCACUGUCAAAUCCAAACACUGAAGUUGUGAUUGCUAGUAGCUGGCAAUCUUAACCAAGAACAACUCUCAACAACGGAUAUCUUGGCUCUCGCAACGAUGAAGAACGCAGCGAAAUGCGAUACGUAGUGUGAAUUGCAGAAUUCCGUGAACCAUCGAAUCUUUGAACGCAUAUUGCGCUCGAGCCCUCGGGCAAGAGCAUGUCUGCCUCAGCGUCGGUUUCAUCCUCACUCCGCCCUCCUUGUGGGGGUGGGUUGGCAUCUGAGCCGCCCAUCGGAGUGGAGCUGGCUUUCCCAAUCCUACUUGGAUUGGGUCUGCUGAAGCACAGAGGCUUAAUCGAGGACCCUUUUGGGCUUCAACUGGAUAGGUAGAGCAGGCUUUCAGCCGACUACACGAAGUUGCGGCUUGUGGACCUUGAUAGGAGCCAAGCAGGAAACAUGCGAACGCAUGCUUACCCUUUCGACCUGAGCUCAGGCAAGGCUACCCGCUGAACUUAAGCAUAUG
This 682-nucleotide ribosomal RNA is filed under the name Scenedesmus sp. NDem8/18T-11W. Its description in RNAcentral is "eukaryotic LSU rRNA". The stretch from base 243 to 396 matches the Rfam family "5.8S ribosomal RNA". Lineage: Eukaryota; Viridiplantae; Chlorophyta; Chlorophyceae; Sphaeropleales; Scenedesmaceae. The record is from RNAcentral.